Molecule: ribosomal RNA, 247 nt
Filed under: uncultured bacterium
Lineage: Bacteria
Description: partial 16S ribosomal RNA
Rfam family: Bacterial small subunit ribosomal RNA
Source: RNAcentral
CACGCCCUAAACGAUGCGAACUGGACGUUGGGCUCAAUUGAGAGUUCAGUGUCGAAGCUAACGCGUUAAGUUCGCCGCCUGGGGAGUACGGUCGCAAGACUGAAACUCAAAGGAAUUGACGGGGGCCCGCACAAGCGGUGGAGUAUGUGGUUUAAUUCGAUGCAACGCGCAGAACCUUACCUGGUCUUGACAUCCACGGAAUCCUUUAGAGAUAGAGGAGUGCCUUCGGGAACCGUGAGACAGGUGC